CAUACACUCACACACAUACACUGUCACACACACACACACACACAUACACUCACACACACACACACACACUGUGUCCAUCAAUAAAGCAGAAAUUAAUAAAUAAUGAAUACAAAUGGUUCUGUGUGCAUGUGUGUGUGUGUGUGUGUGUGUGUGUGUGUGUGUGUGUGUGUGUAUGUGUGUGUGUGUGUGUGUGUGUGUGUGUGUGUGUGUGUGUUCUAGAUGAGAGUGUUGUCUCUGAAGACACUGGGACUCAGAAAACACUUGUGGAUUUUGCAGACACACCGGAGUCAUGUAUGAAGCCCAGCGUUAAUCUGAUCUCUCUGGACGACUCACACACAUCAUCUCUGAUCUGAACAUCUGCUGCCUGUGUGUGUGUGUGUGUGUGUGUGUGUGUGUGUGUGUGUGUGUGUGUGUGUGUGUGUGUAAGCAGAGAUCUAAUGUGAGUGAUCAUUAGGGUUUGGGCUGUGCUGAUGUUUGAGGGUGUGAGGGUAUACUGUGAUAAAGACAUCUAAAUGAUCACUAAUGACAAACGCACAUCAGUAUCCAGAGCUCAGACAGAACUACAGACAUACAGUGAAUUCCAUUAAUAUUGGCACCCUUGGUAAAUAUGAGCAAAGUAGGCUGUGAAAAAUUGUCUUUAUUGUUUAACCUUCUGAUCUUUUGUUCAAAAUUCAUGCUCUCAUAGAUAUCAAACAAUCGCAAACACAACACAGGUUUAUGCAAAAAAUAAAAAUUCUUUGUUAAAUAUAGGUGUGCAACAAUUAUUGGCACUUCAGUGAAUUCAUGUGCGAAAAUAUAUUUGAAGUAUUGAUAUUCAUUGAUAUUUAAAAAAUAAUAAUAAUUAAUACACCUGGUGACUAGGAACAGGAAAGUGUUCAACCGUGACUUCCUGUUUCACAGGGGUAUAAAUAUGAGGUAACACACAGGCCAAAUUCCCUUAGUCAUUCAUAACAAUGGGUAAGAGCGAGGAAUGUAGCUGUGAUGUGCGGCAAAAGGUUGUUGAGCUUCACACAAUGGGGCGUGUCUAUAAGAAAAUAGCACAAGCAUUGAAAACGCCCAUUUCACCAUCAGGGCAAUAAUGAAGAAGUUCCAGUCCACUGGAAAUGUUAUGAAUGGACCUGGAACUGGACGUGUGUCUAUAUCGUCUCAACGCACUGUGAAGAGGACGGUUCGAGUGGAUAAAACAUCUCCAAGGGAUCACAGCUGGAGAACUGCAGAAGUUAGUUGUGUCUUGGGGUCAGAAAGUCUCCAAAACUACAAUCUGAAGUCACCGACAUCACCACAAGCUGUUUGGAAGGGUUUGAAGAAAAAAGCCUCUACUCUCAUCCAAAAACACACUCGAGCGUCUUCAGUGUGCCGACACUACUGGAACUUCAAAUGGGAUCGGGUUCUACGGUCAGAUGAAACCAGAAUAGAGCUUUUUGGUAAUAAACACAGAGGUGGUUUUGGAGCACACAGAGAGGUAGCCGUAUGGAAAAG
Ictalurus punctatus (channel catfish) is the source of this 1479-nucleotide long non-coding RNA. The record is from Ensembl. NCBI's taxonomy places the organism in Eukaryota, Metazoa, Chordata, Actinopteri, Siluriformes, Ictaluridae.